UUCAUGCAGCAUGCUUCCAGUAUUUACAUCAAAGAUUGUAAACAUACAGCUCUACAGCUUGCCCUUGAUUAUAGGCCUCACAGAACUCUUCAUAUACGUGGUUAUGGAUGUAAUGCAUAUUCCAAAUAUAACCCCUUCUCAAAAAGUCACCACCAUAUCUUGUUCCAUUGAGUUCGAGGAGAGCCCUAUCGACACUUUGAGGGUCUUGAGAUAGAAUAUAUGCAACCCUGAAAGUAUUUAUAGAAAUAUCACUUAAUAAGUUAUCAAACCAUGCAAUAAUAUGCAUUUGGCUUUUAGGGUAAAACAUUGCUACUCGAUGUGCACAACCAGUGGCAGAUCUCUUUAGGGACAGGCAGGGGCCAUGGCAUCCCCCAGGUUUUCCUUAUAUUUUGUAUUAGGUGUCAUAAAUCAAUUAGAUUUCAGCUGUUGCAGUGGAAAUGGGGUGUCGUAAAUUGCUAAAAGUUGCUGGUUCAACACUUCCACACAUCUUCUUUUUGCAUAUUUAUCUUCUACUUUUACAAAUUGUAUUAAAAAAAAAACACAUUUUUUUUUGGAUUUCGAACCCACAUCCUCUUGCUCUUUUCAAAAAAUUUAUACCACUAGGUCGGUUAUUAAUUAUUAUUACUUCUUGAAACUGUUUAAUAUAUAUUUCAUAGAAGUUUGGCACCCCCAACAAAUUAAUUCAAGAUCCGCCACUGUGCACAACUAAAAAGAAUCUAAAUGAGAUUCUAAGAAACAGACCCAUUGCUUCUAUCUCGACGAUAAUAAUCGGUACUCACAAACUCAACAACCCCAAAAAUAUCCAAAAUCUUUAGCUCUGAUUCUAACUAAUAAUGAAGUAAAGUCAAAGCAAUGAUGCGAUUGUGUAAAUGAGCCUGUAAAUAACGGUCAAUUUUAUGGUGUAUAAUUGAGACAUUCUUGCAUCACGCACAAACUAAUUUUCACUAUUGGAUCAAUAAAUCUCACCAUUAAAUUGAAAAGAAAUAUGAUGUGACUUAUUGAUCCAAUAAUAGAAAGAACAUUUAUGCAUGAUAUAAAACCAUUUUACUCGUGCAUAUAUUAGACAAAGCCGUAAUUACAACUCUAUUAUUCCAUCCCAUGUUCUAAAUUUACAUAUGAUGGGUAAAUUUAGAAAACAACUCGGAUAUCUUGUAGUCAUAUAAUAAGAAAGGGUUCUUACUCUUUUUUAUACAAAACUACAAAUAUUAUUUUCAUAUUCUGCUAUCAACCUAUGAGAAGGAAUCGUUGAGAUAUAAAUAAAUAAAUAUAGUGGGUGCAAUUUGCUGCAGGAAACAAUUGUUAAUUUAUUUUCAUCUCCUAAAUGCCUUGAUGCAGUUGUAGUAGGUAAAAUAGAUCAAAGAAAUCAAAAGAGAAGAGAAAUUACUUCCGCUUUAAAGUAUAAAUUGAAUCAACGAACCCACUUGGGUUGGCUUAGUGGUAUUGGCUUGGGAUCUGGGAGUGUGCUCCUCCUCAAAGUCUUAGGUUCGAUUCUCUCUGGUGUCAAUUUAGGUGAGUUAGUUUAACUUCUUAAAAAAAAAAAAAUUUGAAUCAACGAACAUGUAAAUAUUUGGAAUGAGCUUUAGUCAUAUUUCCUAUAAGAAAAGUAUAAUUAGAAAGGUUUAAAAGAAAAAAUUAAAAUAUUUAAAAAUAAAAUUCGAGGAAAAAAAAUUGAUACAUUUUUUAACUCAUGUUAGGAUAAUCCAUGUCAAACCUCGAUCCCAUGGGAAUAAUACAAUCCUUCAGAAGUAGAGCAAUAACACGCAUUGUUCCUUGAAUACCGCGUCCAAUCGCUCCCUAUGUUGGCUUUGCUUUCUAUCUUUGUCUAGGUGUUGCUCUUAUUGUAGCCUUUCUUCUGUUUUGUUUUUUUUAUGUGGUGGUGCUUUGGAUGUCGUCUCCUUGUUGUUUUGUUUAGUAGGGGGCCGAACCUUGGUGUUAUUUGGAACGUCUUUUGGCAGUUCAUCUAGUGUAUUUUGUACAAUUUACUAUUUUCUAUAUAUAUAUAUAUAUAUUUGUCAUUCAAAAAAAAAGUUUAUAUUUAGGAUAAAGAAAAGAUGGGUGGACUCUCUGUCAAGCUAAAUAUAAAUUGAAUUGUCUGAAAAUAAUAAAUAUUAUGACAUAAUAUUAAAUUUAUAGUUGAAGUGUCCUCGUGAGCUUAGCUCGAUUGGUAAGGAC
Molecule: long non-coding RNA, 2172 nt
Filed under: Medicago truncatula (barrel medic)
Lineage: Eukaryota; Viridiplantae; Streptophyta; Magnoliopsida; Fabales; Fabaceae
Description: long non-coding RNA (MTRU_LNC000182)
Source: RNAcentral